UUUCCUGUAGUUGAAUACAACGGUGGUUUUUCAAGCCAUUGGUCCUGGUUAGAAUCCUGGCAGGAAUA
RNAcentral lists this transfer RNA (68 nucleotides) under Periophthalmus minutus (minute mudskipper). Its description in RNAcentral is "tRNA-Glu". It matches the Rfam family "tRNA". Rfam says of the family: Transfer RNA (tRNA) molecules are approximately 80 nucleotides in length. Their secondary structure includes four short double-helical elements and three loops (D, anti-codon, and T loops). The record is from RNAcentral. Lineage: Eukaryota; Metazoa; Chordata; Actinopteri; Gobiiformes; Gobiidae.